Molecule: ribosomal RNA, 390 nt
Filed under: uncultured bacterium
Lineage: Bacteria
Description: bacterial SSU rRNA
Rfam family: Bacterial small subunit ribosomal RNA
Source: RNAcentral
AUUGAACGCUGACGGCAUGCCUUACACAUGCAAGUCGAACGGCAGCGGACCUUCGGGUGCCGGCGAGUGGCGAACGGGUGAGUAAUAUAUCGGAACGUACCUUUCAGUGGGGGAUAACGUAGCGAAAGUUACGCUAAUACCGCAUAUUCUGUGAGCAGGAAAGCAGGGGAUCGCAAGACCUUGCGCUGAUUGAGCGGCCGAUAUCAGAUUAGCUAGUUGGUGAGGUAAAGGCUCACCAAGGCGACGAUCUGUAGCGGGUCUGAGAGGAUGAUCCGCCACACUGGAACUGAGACACGGUCCAGACUCCUACGGGAGGCAGCAGUGGGGAAUUUUGGACAAUGGGCGCAAGCCUGAUCCAGCCAUGCCGCGUGAGUGAAGAAGGCCUCGGUU